CCCUUAGAUGUCCUGGGCCGCACGCGCGUUACACUGAUGCAUUCAACGAGCUUAUAACCUUGGCCGAGGGGCCUGGGCAAUCUUGUUAACGUGCAUCGUGAUAGGGAUAGAUUAUUGAAAUUAUUAAUCUUGAACGAGGAAUUCCUAGUAAACGCAGAUCAUCAAUCUGCAUUGAUUACGUCCCUGCCCUUUGUACACACCGCCCGUCGCACCUACCGAUUGGAUGGUCCGGUGAAGCCUCGGGAUUGUGGUUCUUGCCGCUUCAUUGUGGCGUGACCGCGAGAACUUGUCUAAACCUUAUCAUCUAGAGGAAGGUGAAGUCGUAACA
RNAcentral lists this ribosomal RNA (328 nucleotides) under uncultured eukaryote. RNAcentral's name for it is "partial 18S ribosomal RNA". It matches the Rfam family "Eukaryotic small subunit ribosomal RNA", at positions 1470 to 1796 of the family's 1831-position model. The record is from RNAcentral.